RNAcentral lists this transfer RNA (65 nucleotides) under Solenopsis invicta (red fire ant). Its description in RNAcentral is "tRNA-Thr". The record is from RNAcentral. Lineage: Eukaryota; Metazoa; Arthropoda; Insecta; Hymenoptera; Formicidae. RNAcentral also lists the same sequence under 1 other name.
AGUUUUAUAGUUUAAUAAAAAACAUUAAUUUUGUAAAUUAAAAAUAUACCUACCUAUUAAAACUU